AUUAGAACAAAACAAGGUAACAAAAAACCAUUACCAGGAGGCCCUUGAACGAGUGUAAUGCCCGUUGUUUUUAAACAAUCAUAAAUGGCUUGUAAUUGCGAUUCAUUAUAAUGUUCUACUAAUUUUGUUUUCAAUGUUGAAGAUUAUUAUCUUUGCUGGACAACAGAUUGCGUAACGGUUGGGUCAUAGGACUCUCAACUUCCGCACUCCCACUCUCUAAGCUACUCAUACUUAAUACCUUAACUUUUACUGUUUUUUUCUCAUUGCAAUUUAGCAAAUGUUUUACCAAUGGUGAUUUAUCCAAACUGCACAAUGCCUGCAAGUGGAGAAAACGUUCAUGAUCUUCACUUUAACAGAAACCUGUAUCGUACCUCACAUUCGCGAAUAUGGGUCACUAAACUAAUCAGAGGCGUUAAAACCCAAUCCUGCUUUUUUUUUUCCAUACUCUAAAAUGAGUCUAUUGUCACUUGAAAUAUUUUGUCAUGAUACCAUUACUUUAAUUAAUAAUUUAAAACGAUUAAGUAAAAUUGUAUCAUUUGGAUCAAUCGAAGGAACGUAAAUUUUUAAUACAAUUGCAUGAUGACCAACAUCUAGAACACACAAGUGUAGAAAGAGUGAAUUUCAUAAACCCAACACGGUGAAAAAAAUAAAAAUUGUCACCGUAUCUUUUGAUUGUGUAUCAACUCAUUUAAAUAAAUUUUAGAAAGCGUACCUUUAACAAUUCCUAAAAUAUGAAUUCCUUUCAUUAAUUCUUCUACCUCUUCAAAAAUAUCUUUUUCCGUUUCUUUUCCCGUUUCUUUUCCCGUUUCUUUUCCCGUUUCUUUUCCCGUUUCUUUUUCCGUUUCUUUUCCCGUUUCUUUU
Molecule: long non-coding RNA, 861 nt
Organism: Hylaeus volcanicus
Lineage: Eukaryota; Metazoa; Arthropoda; Insecta; Hymenoptera; Colletidae
Exons: 3
Source: RefSeq, a predicted model, not a curated record